RNAcentral lists this ribosomal RNA (253 nucleotides) under uncultured bacterium. RNAcentral describes it as "partial 16S ribosomal RNA". It matches the Rfam family "Bacterial small subunit ribosomal RNA", at positions 524 to 776 of the family's 1533-position model. The record is from RNAcentral.
UACGGAGGGUGCGAGCGUUGUCCGGAAUCACUGGGCGUAAAGGGCGCGUAGGUGGCCCGUUAAGUGGCUGGUGAAAUCCCGCGGCUCAACUGCGGGGCUGCCGGUCAGACUGGCGAGCUAGAGCACGGUAGGGGCAGAUGGAAUUCCCGGUGUAGCGGUGGAAUGCGUAGAGAUCGGGAAGAAUACCAGUGGCGAAGGCGACUACCUGGACCAGCACUGACACUGAGGCACGAAAGCGUGGGGAGCAAACAGG